Bactrocera oleae (olive fruit fly) is the source of this 767-nucleotide non-coding RNA. The record is from RefSeq and is a predicted model, not a curated record. Lineage: Eukaryota; Metazoa; Arthropoda; Insecta; Diptera; Tephritidae.
AGGAACGAUUUUGUAUUUUUCAUCAAUUGAUUCUAAAAAUGACAUCACAGACGGGUUGUUUGUUAUCACCGUAAAGGGGCCAUGUUUGUUAUUAUUACCAAAAAUUUAGAUUAGUGUAUUCUGUCGUCGUAUACUGAUUGCUCCAAAUUGGAUAUCGUUUGAAGUUAAGUUUAUUCAUAUUUUAAUUACUGUAAUCCGAAAUGUGCAAGUGUUUGGCAGGGAACGUAGCAUGCUGCUGCUUUAGUUGUGCGCUGAAUAUUUUAAUUUCAAUAUUAACCGCAUUUUUUGUGGUUUUCCUAAUCGGCGCCAUAUUGAUCUACUAUAUUUAUUACCAUGAGAACGAAGAUGGCACGGCAAAAAAAAUAAAAGAUGAGUUAAGGAACGGUUUGGAAAGUGGACUGGACAAAAUUAAAGGCACAUUAUCAAAUUAACAGAAUAAACUGGUAUUUAAUGUACUUUGUCCAGAUGUAAGUCACAGCUAAGGAAAUAGAUACUUAAAUAUAUAUUAUUAUAAGCCGAACAUGGAAAACACAUGUAUAGGAAUAAAUUGCAUUUAUGAUAUAAUAUAUAUGUCUACCAUAUGUUCCUUUUUUAAUACAAAUUUACAUAUUAUUGUUACAAUAAUAUUCAUAAAAUAUAACCAAUAUUUUUUUAUCCAAUAUAAUACUUUCAAUAAAAAACAAAGUAAACUAUUUUAUAUAUGUAUGAAUAUAAACGACAUUAAUGAAAAAAAAUUUUUGCAAAUAAAAACUUUGAAUUGAUAAAAU